This is a long non-coding RNA of Brassica napus (rape), 1506 nucleotides long. RefSeq lists it as uncharacterized. The transcript is spliced from 4 exons. NCBI's taxonomy places the organism in Eukaryota, Viridiplantae, Streptophyta, Magnoliopsida, Brassicales, Brassicaceae. The record is from RefSeq and is a predicted model, not a curated record.
AAGAACGCGAGGCUGGGUCGAUGAUUUCCUUCAACAUGAGCGGAUCGUCUAUCUCCUAGAUCCGUCGUUUUCUCUUCUUCAAUAGAUCGUCGAUCUCCUAGCAAUUCACGAGCAGAAAAGGUUUCUACAAGCAGACAACAAAGAAAGGUAUCUCCAAGUCAAAGCCUUCUCCCCGGAAAGCCCCUCCCAAACACGCAGCCACCCAAGUUUCUGAUGCUACACAGCGGGAGAUGUUGAUUUCGCACGGCUCCCUCGAUGUCAACGAUGCCUCAAAGUUGUCACUAGCCAAGCUUUUGCCUCAGCAGGUCGUCGCCGUCUUGCUUGCGUGGCUGACCAACGUCGCCGGCGAAGCUAUCCAUGGUUGGUUCCAGUUUCGAUCGGACGCAUUUGAAAAGCUAAUAAAAGUUUACCACAUUCACAGUUUCAAAUACGAUUCUAUCUGAUAUUUUCAUCCACAUGACCUUUGCUUGAUUUCUCUUUAUUUGCUUCUCCGGUAACAAAAAAGGUAAAGGGGCGAGAAGAAGGCACAUAUGGUAUACCACCAUUCUCUCUACUAUAGGAGAAGCACGCGCAAGAGCAUGGCAAGUGGCAACUCCACCAGUAGCAGUAUUUUGCGUUUGUCAGCUUAUAUGUUUUUUUUCUUCUUUUUUAUAAAUGUGUUUCGUUAUGUAUAGAUUCAAAUGUCCUUGGUCAGAUUUUUUUUUUCAAUUCAGAGGGAAGAUUUGGUAUGUUUUUCUUUCUGAGGAUUUUGCAGAUCGGACAAGGGAUGUACAUUAGCGUGUUCUGUGCACGAGAGCCUGAAACAGGAAGAAUACUGGCUUUCAAGAAGGCUAGGUUUGACAAUUUUGAGGCAGAUAGUGUUAGGUCCAUCACAAGACAGAUUGUGAUACUUAGGAGACUUAAUCAAGUUUUUCUCUUAAAUCAAAAGCUAAUGGUAGGACUUAGCAUUUGGGGAAUUCGAGCAUAUAUAAAGGUAUAGGUCUUAAGAAAGAAUGGGCAAGGAUUUCUUUCGAUCUGCCACAUCCUAUCGUAUGAUCUAGCAAUCUUGGACAAUUGUUUUGAUGAGCUGUCACUAAACCUGAGUGCGCUGUCUGUCUUCUCGGCUGGCCCAAGUUAAAUGUUUUAUGAGUCAUAGUAUUCUAGCAUGAAUAAGGGGUUCGAAGAGACUCAUGCAAGAUGUAGAUGCUUGUGUGCGUAAACUAAAAGUAGAAGCAUUAGCACUUGCCAGGAAAGAGUUUGUGCAUACAAGUAACGGGUUUGUUCUUUGCAGAAAGUCUAAUAAAGUGGAGAAAGAUCAUGAAAAGAGCUACAUUUGGUGGCUGAUGGUCAAAAGGGUUUUGUAACUUUGGUAUCAUUUUGGUUGGGGAAAAGAAACAUGAGGCAAUGUAAUUUUAUAUUAUGUUAUGAACUCCAAAGUUAUUGAAUAAGUGAUGUACUACUAUGAAAACCUUCUGUAAUUGUAACUCAAUAAUAACAAUGAAGGUAAAUAAUAAUUUUUUUUGGUUA